Molecule: transfer RNA, 65 nt
Filed under: Laemobothrion sp.
Lineage: Eukaryota; Metazoa; Arthropoda; Insecta; Psocodea; Laemobothriidae
Description: tRNA-Glu
Source: RNAcentral
UUUUCACUAGUUUAUCUAAAACAAUGUUCUUUCGAAACAUAGAUCUCUCUUAAGGAGGUGAAAAA